GUCCACUGCGGGCGCUUGUUCUGCUCUUCCCCCGCGGGGGAUACUGAGGCCCCUAGGGGCUGGGGAAGCCGGGCGCAGGUCAGGUCCGGCCCUUAGUCCGGGCCUCGUCCGCUCCGCCGGGAUGGGCUCCUUGGUAUUCGCGUGUCGUCGGGGAAGAGAUUGGCAGGCCUUCUAGGCUAUGGGGCUCUCCUGGAGGCAGAUGAAAAGUCUCCCUCGGACGGCUUUGCUCGUUCUGCAGCAGCCAGCGCCCCCUGGUCUCCUGUGUCACUCUGAUCUGCACUCCCCGGUGGGUGCUACUGUCCCGCGUGUGAGGAUGUUCCUGGGUAAGUGCUGCUUGUGAACACCUUGAAGGAAGUGGGGGUGGAGGGUGUGCUCUCUGGGUUGCCUCUAGCUGGCACCAGCUCAGGCAGCAUCUGAGACCUGUCUGGAAGGCCCUGGUGCAGGAGGAAGCCUGGUGUAGUAGAUGGGGGGCUGUGUUGGGGUGGGGAGGCACAUCCUGGUUAAGUUGUUCCUGCAUUCUCCCCAGCUUGACUUCCUGUAGAGAAGCUGCAAGAUGUCUGUGAGGGCAGAGACCUGGACUGUCUUGUUGUUUUUUUUUUUUGUUUGUUUCUUUUUUGUAGAGACAGUUUCACUUUAUUGCCCUUUGUAGAGUGCUGUGGUGUCACACAGCUCACAGCAACCUCCAACUCCUGGGCUCAAGCAAUUCUACUGCCUCCGCCUCCCAAGUAGCUGGGACUACAGGCACCCGCCACAACGCCCGGCUAUUUUUUGGUUGCAGCCGUCAUUGUUGUUUGGCAGGUCCAAGCUGGAUUCGAACCACCAGCUCAGGUGUAUGUGGCUGGCACCUUAGCCGCUUGAGCCACAGGCGCCAAGCCUCCCUUCAACUCUUGAGUGGCAAAUGAUCUCUGUGAGAAUCAGAGGCAGCUUCUGUAAUCUUAGGCUGUAAGUCUGGUCAUCAUCUGGGAUGAAGGUACUGGCCUUCCUUCUCAGCAUGUCCUUUGCCCUUUUCUGCCCUGCAUUCGAAAGUGAUUGUGGGCUGCCCGUGCCCUGGUCAUUGAUAGUGCAGGGAAAGGAGUCACUGAAAGCAUUUCCCCGUGUUUGGAGGGUCCACUGCUGUCCCUUGCAAACCCUGGAGCUUUCCCACACUUCCUCCUUCCUACCACCUUCCAGUUGCCUCCUGUGCCUGUGUCAUUUUUUGAGUUGCUCUUUUCUCUGGCCCAGGGCAGGUUACUGUGAGACGGACAGGAAGGGUGUGGGAGCACAGGCUCAGCCUUAAGGAGUAGAAGAGCCAGGUGUGGAUCUGUGACAGGGCCACCGAUUCCUUCCUCCUGGAAGCUUCUGCUCCACACCUCUCCUUCCACACCCUCAGUCAAUCCCCUGAGCACCAGGAAGACCCUGUGGAGGUCGUUGCUUGACUUGUCUCCUGACUGUCUUUGCCAUGAUCUUGAGGGCUGUGUCUGAAUUUGUGUCUAGUUUUGUUCUGUUUGUCAGACGGUCAGUGCUACACAGUGUGUGACAGAUGAAAAACAAGAAAGGGAGGGCCCCUUUGUUGCAGGGGGGUAGGGCUCAUUGCAUUGUACAGUGUUGCGGGAAAAUACUGAGUAAGCAACUUGUGCAGGGGUAGGGCGGGGCGGACUGGGUGAUUUUUCCCCCCUUCGAAGAAUUCAUCAAGUGACUUAGUCGUGUUGGUCCUGGCCUUGUGUGGCCACUGGGGUAGGAUUUUCCCUCCAGUCUGGGUACAAAGGUAAGGACCAGAGAUGGGCAGAGAAGAAUGAAAUUGAGGGAUCUAUGGAAUCAGCCCUAACAGAGCCCUGCUACUUCCCCAGGUCUGUGCCAGAUGCAGCUAGGGGAACAUGGCAUAUUCCCCAGAGCGCUGUGGCCCCACUUGUUUUGAAGGAGCCCUCAGUAACAUUUGGCACAACAGAUAAAAUGAAUGUGCUGUUCCUGCCUUAGAAGUUCUCCAGUCCCUUCCCUAGAGUCUCUGGUGUAAUCGGAGGAGUCUCCAGGUUGCCUGUGCAGAGCCUGCUGCUGCCUAAGGACCGAGGAAACAAUGAUAUCAAGAAAGAAAAAUUGACUCGGAGUAUAGGAUAUUCAAAGCACAGUGGACUUACAAUUACUUUUUCAUGCAGUACAAGGAAAGAGCUGUGUGUUUGAUUUGCCAGAAUAUAGCAUCUGUGUUCAAAGAAUACAAUUUGCCUCGACAUUAUCAAACUCAACAUAAAGAUAAAUAUGAUAGUUUGGUUGGAGAAGUGAGAAAAGAUAAAAUAUUAAAAUUGACAACUCAGCAAAAUACUUUUGUGAAGCAGAAACAGCUAAAUACUUCAUCACUGUGAGCAAGUUUUCAAGUUGCCAAGAUAAUAGCGUGCACUGGCAGACCAUUCGUGGAGGGAGAAUUUGUUAAAGAAUGCCUUCUUUCUAUUGCCAAAGAGAUGCGUCCAGAGAAGGCUGAUUUAUUUAGUACAGUGAGUCUUUCAGGACCCUCAAUUACAUGAAGGAUUGAAGAAAUGGGAGACAAUUUGCAUCAGCAUUUGCAAAACUCCACAAAAAACUUUUCCUAUUUUUCCUUGGCACUUGACGAAAAUAAUGAUGUUCAUGAUUCUGCACAACUUCUAAUUUUUAUUCGUGGUACGAAUGACUAUUUGGAAGUCACAGAAGAGCUUGCUGCACUGCAAAGCAUCAAAGGAACAACUACAGGAGAGGAUAUUUAUGAAAAGGUUUGCCAAACUGUGAAUAGUUUGGAGCUGGACUGGGCAAAAUUAGCCAGUGUGACAACUGAUGGUGCUCCUAGGAUGGUGGAGUCUAAGAAAGGAGUAAUUGCUCGCAUUAACCAAGAGAUGGACAAACAUAACCAUUCUCAUCCAAUAGCCAUACACUGCCUCAUCCACCAACAAGCGCUGUGUAGUAAAUCACUGAAGUGGGACUCUUACUAUGAAAAACUGGAAUCUUGUGUUAACUUCACUAGAGGUAAUACACUAAACCACAGACAAUUUCAGGAAUUUCUGUCUGAGCUAAAUGUUGCCUGUGAAGAUGUUCCGUACCACACAGAAGUCCAUUGGCUGAGUCGAGGGAGAAUUUUGAAACAUUUCUAUGACUUACUUCUACAGAUUACAGCUUUUCUGCUUUCAAAAAACAAGUACCAGAGCUCAAUGAUGCAGAAUGGAAAUGGCACCUUGCCUUUCUGACAGAGGUAACAGAGUUACUCAACAGUUUCAAUGUGCAACUUCAAGGAAAGGGAAGCUCAUCUGUGCUAUGCAAUCACAUGUGAAAGCAUUCGAAGUAAAAUUAGGCCUCCUGAUCAAACAAGUGAAAGAGGAAAAUUUCUGCCAUCUCCCCACAACUCAAAAUCUGUUAGUGGAAAAUCCAUUGGUUGCAUUCCCAAAUAAAACAUGUGGAUUCACUGGAAAAGUUGCAAAAGGAGUUCCAAUUUAGAUUUAAAGAGCUUCAUCUCCAUAAACAGGACAUACAGCUUUUCCGUAACCCAUUUUCUAUUGACAUUGAAAAUGUGGAUACGAUUUACCAAAUCGUAUUUUCUGCUGAACUGCAGAAUUGUGACUCUCUGAAAGAUGCAUUCAAGUCAAGCAGCCUGCCUAAUUUCUAUGCACCUCUCCCCUCUGAGACAUAUUCUAAUCUCAGGAACCAUGCACUCAAAAUGGCAACCAUUUUUGGUAGCACUUAUGUCUGUGAACAGACUUUUUCCAGAAUGAAACAUCUGAAAUUUCCAACCAGAUCUAGACUAACUGAUGCAUACUUGCAUCACUUGUCACGACUAGCAGUGACAAAUAUGGAACCAAACAUCGACCAUCUCAUUAGCCAAAAGCAGGCCCAUAGUUCCCAUUGAAAUACUGGAUUAUCAGCUGGCCCCUGUCCCGUGUGUCUGGCUGGACCCCUUGAUGCUUAUAAGGUAUGAAUCCUGGGUGUUUCUCUAGAGAGUGCACUGAUGUUCAGGCUGCAAGGCCAAAGGCCUCAAGGUCCUGGGAGGGGAGACAAAGGCUGCUUCCCAUUGCUUACUUCCCCAUUGAGCCCACAGAUAAAGGGAGCCCCUCUCUUUUGCUCACUUAACCCUUCACAGUAUGAAGCACAGCAAGUGUGUACCUCGCUCCCCCCAGGGUUUCGAGUACUCUGGGGAAGCCAGGUGCCCUACAUCCCGGUGUGGGUGGGCAGUAGCUUGUUGAAGUGGGAAUAGGGCUGUGUUUUGGAGCCUGACAAUUAGCGUGGGUACUAUCACACAAUCCAAGACUUCCCAACCCAUUAGAUUUGCAAUGUUCCCCCAAAAGUUGGUCUUCCCUCUUAUUCUUUUAGCAGGGAAGCAUUAAUUAGAGCAGUGGUUCUCAAACUGGUCCCUGGACCAACCACCGUCAGCUUAGCUGGGAACUUAUAAGAAGUAGAAAUUCUUAUGUCUUACCCAGACCUGCUGAGUCAGACACCUAAAGUUUGAAAAGUAUCAUGUUAGACAAUCUUUGAGAAUCAGAGGCAGCUGCUGGAAUUAUAGGCUGCAGAUCUGGUCACUAACUCAUCUCCUGGUCUCUUAUUCCAGCUUGGCCCUUUUCUAAGCUGCUGGCAAUGCCUUACCUCCACGUUCACUCUGCCCUUUUGUGCCCCUGCAUUCGAAAGUGAUCGUGGGCUGCCUGUGCCCUGGUCAUUGAUAGUGCAGGGAGAGGAAUCACUGAAAGCAUUUCCCCGUGUUUGGAGGGUCCACACCUGUCCCUUCCAAACCCUGGAGCUUUCAAACAUGCCUUCUUACCAGCUUUCCUACCUUCUGGUGUCAAACACUCUGGUUUAUUGAGUGCCUUUUCUGACCUGCACCGUGUGAGGUACUAGGAGGCUUAAGGAAAGGGUGGUGAAACAGGGCCCUGCCUCAGGGAGUUGAUGUUUGUGGGCUAGUUUUAGAGCCACUGUAGCGGUCACCCUUCUCCUAGGGCUCCCCCUAGAAGAUUUUUCUGCCUCCCCAUUCACCCCUUUCCACGUCCCCAGCCCCACCUCUCAGGAGUGAUCGUGAGAGUUGUUAGUUUAUCACGCCCCCUGUGCUAUGAGCCUGUUGAGGGCAGUGCCCCUUUCUUGAUUGAUGUUGUGCCUGGUGCCUAAUAUGUAGCACCUGGGCAAAAAGAAAACAAGAAGACACGUCAUUGUACGGUGACAGGGCCCAUCCCGUUGAGCAGUGUCAGGGUGGAGAAUGCCCUUCGGCAAGCCGGCUGUUGCAGUCCACCUUUAGUCCUGGCCAUGGGAAGGGCCACGGUUGCCCCAGAACCCCCAAUCCCCCAGGAUUUUAUCUCUGCCUUAGAUUAAAGUGGCAGGGGCUGGCAUUCUUCCUUUCUUUUUUUGGGAUGCCACGCCAUUCUCUUGCUCCUUUUCUCCUCCCCCAUCUUCCCUUCUCUCACUUCCUUUUUUUUUAAGAGACAGAGUCUCACUUUAUCACCCUCGGUAGAGUGCUGUGCCGUCACAGCUCACAGCGACCUCCAACUCCUGGGCUUAGGCGAUUCUCCUGCCUCAGCCUUCAGAGUAGCUGGGACUACAGGUGCUCACAACACCUGGCUAUUUUAUGUUGCAGUUUAGCUGGGGCUGGGUUCGAACCCACCACCCUUGGUCUAUGGGGCUGGUGCCCUACUCAGUGAGCCACAGGCGCCGCCCCCUUCUCUCACUUCCUUCUCUCUUCUCUUCUCCACACUCUCUUCCCCUUUCUCUAAUAUUAAAUAAACUUAUACUUUUAUAUUAAAAAGAAAUAAAAAGUGGCAGGGACUAGAGUAGUAAUCAAAGUGAGCCAGGCACCAAGUGGUAGGACAUAGUGACACGGCCCUUACAUGCUAGACGGUGGGCCUGGGCCUUCUACCACCUGUUACCUAUCCCAGGUACCUGCUAGUUGCUGCCGGGCACAGGCCACUCCCCAAAACUUCCUGGCCUCAGUAUCCUGGGUUCUUUUGUUGUUUUAAAUAAAUUUUAGUGUUAAUAUUUGAGGUUUAUAACAUGAUGUUAUGGGAUAGUGGGUUACAUAUCAGAAUGGUUACUAUAGUGAAACAGAUUAAUCUGCCUGUCUCUGACAUAGUUACAUGUUUCAUAUGUGAUGUGAGCAGCUAAAAUUUAUUUAGUUAACAAAAAUCCCUAAUACAGUUUUGUUAACUAUGCGAUAGACUGUUCAUCCUACGUAUCUGCUACUUUGUACCCUUUGACCUCCAUCUCCCCACUCCUCUCCUGCCCCCAUUUGUAAUCACUAUUUUUUAUUGUCUAUGUGUGUUGGACUUUUUUUUUUUAACAUUCUGCACAAUGUAACUAAGAUUGUACAAUGCUUUUCUUUCCGUGUCUGGCUUAUUUCACUCAGCAUGGCGUCCUCCAGGUCCAUCCACGUUGCGGCAAAUGGCAGCAUCUCUCUUAUUUGUUUGCUUCUUUAUUUAUUUAUAUUAUUUUUCUACUAGGUAAGCUUUUAUCCCUUUAUCCCUCAUCCCCCAGGUCUCGCUUUCCGAAGGCUGAAUGACAUUCUGUUGCAUACGUGCAGCACGUUUUCUUUAUCCGUUUGUUAUUGCUGGACGCUUAGGUUGUGUCCACUUCUUAGCUAUUGUGAAUGUUGCCGCAGUGAUUGAGGAAGUGCAGACAUCUUUACAAGAUUUCUUCUCCUUGGUAAUGGCCGGAAGAGGGAGUGCUGGGUUUCAGCAUCCUUUUAACUUACACUGAUAGGUAACAAAUUGAUCUUCCUUGGCACAUAGAAGUCGUGGAUGUAUUCAUGUCAGAUGGUCUCCAGCCCCUUUCUAGUUAGAUUUUUCUUGUUCUUGCAGCUGUAAAGCUGUGAGGGUCACAGGCAGCAUUUGUGGGCUGCUUAUAGUCUGCCAGCCCCUGUGUCAGAUGCACUUUGUGUGUCUGUUGCAGGUGGACAUACUGUGUACACAGCCUCCGUGGGGUAUGUCAUCUUCAUAGCAGCAGGCCCCGUGGCGUGGGGCCCUGAGCCGUAGAUGCAGACUCUAUCCAAGGAAGUCUCAAGGCCAUGGAGUCGGUGAUCCUUGGAAUGAUCUGGCAUCUGGAUUUGCUGAUAUUUCUCACCAUGAAUCUGUUGGAUAAAGAGGAACAGAGAAUGGAGUGUGAGGUUGUCAUAUGAAACAUCACCAUAGCUGCUGCCUGCUCAGAGCAUUGUGGAACAACUGUUCACUCUGCAUAGGAAUUGGGUUCCAGACUUCAGCUGGUUCUGAAUUUUGACUACAGUGACUCUGUGGGGCCGUGGAAAGGGAAGGCCAGCCCUGUGUCCUUCUGCCUGUGCCUGGAAUGACUUUUUAAUAACCAAGGAUUUUCUUUUGAAUUUGUAGCUAUUCUAUAAAACUUAUAGACUUGCUCUGCCUGCCUUUUAAAUCAGUGACAACUCAAGAGCCUGCAAGGCUGGAUUGGGAGAAAGUAGGCUAUAGGCCCAAUCUUACUUUCACUCUUUGAGCCUUUCUUGUUUUUAACAAUCCAGAGGCUUGGCACAUAGGACAUUGUUUGAGGGUACAUUUGGGACUAGGAGGUAAACAAGUGCUAGGAAUUGGCUCAUAAUUAGGAUCCAUGAGAAUUGAGGACAUUGUAGGAUAGGCAGGGGUAUGGAGUGAGACAGUUCUGAUGUCAUUAAGGAAGUUUCGAGUGCCCUGGGGAUCUAAGACAUGGCUCAUACAUAAAUGCUCACUUGUGUGACAAACUGUCUUUAGUUUGCUGGGAUUGAGGGGUUUCCUAGGAAGUGGGACUUUCAUUGCUAAAACAGGGAGGUCUCAGGCAAAUUGGGAUGAGUUGGUCAGACUAUCUGGGAGGUAAAAUAGAUGGUGUCAGCUUGAUAGGAAAGAUUACUAAGUAAAGUUGGGAGAAGGAUGGCCAUGGAGCAGCUGCCACUGAUAAAACAAGGGCUGCCCUCAGGGCCAGGCUUUGGAGAUAACUGGGGUAAAGUCAGUUGUAACAGUGAGGUGACCUGCUAAGGAUGUGCAUGCUUCUUUUGUCCAUCUUACAGAGGGAGAGGUCUGUGAUGAAGGGGCACAGUUUAGGUGCCUCAUUUCUGCAUUUGAAAUUGAAACCAUGAGGCCAGGUGGUGGCUCAUGCCUGUAAUCCUAGAACGCUGGGAGACCAAGGUGGGUGGAUGCUUGAGCUCAGGAGGUUGAGAUCAGCCUGAGCAAGUGUGAGACCCUGUCUCUAAAAAAAAUGCCAGGUGUUGUGGGCAUCUGUAGACCCAGCUACUUGGGAGGCUGAGGCAUUGUACCCAAGAGUUUGAGGUUGCUGUGAACUAUGAUGACAUGGCACUCCACCGAGGGUGACCAAGUGACACUCUGUUUCAAAAAUAAAUAAAUAAAUAAAUAAACCUACCUUGGCUGCAGAGUUCAGGCUGCCUUGAUGAGUUUGGCACCUUGAUGGUUUCUGCAAGGGAAAGGCAGUCUUGCUGGUUCAAAUGCUCCACCCUGUCAACCAGUUUCCUGCAGGAGCAUGCAGAAGUCAAAGGUCCUUUUUCUGCCCUGCCUUUCCCUUCAGGGACUAUUUUUCAACUUAAGUUUGUCCCUGUAGUCACCUGGUUAUAACUGGCUGAAAAGAUACCAGGAGAAGGAAUCUGGGUUUAUAGGAGGAAGCCGGGACAGCUGAUGUCUGCUGCAGUGGGGCUGGAGGAGAGAUGUAGCAGCAGAGCACAGACUGGGACUGAGUAAGCCUACACAUUUCACCUGGGUCCAGAUCACACAUGCCUCUAACCCCAAAGGGUCUCUCUGUGGUCUCCAGGAAAUUACUGUUAUAUGAGUAUUAUAUCUAUGCUAACAUGUAUAAGGAGGCAUUGUUUGGAAAAUAAGGACAGAAAUUUAUAUACUAGAAUUUGUGUAAGAAUGUAAUUUUAUAUUUUGGUAGCUUUUUUUUGAAAUAAGAAUCUCAAAAAUAGAAAUUUUUAGGCUUGGUGCCUGUAGCACAGUGGUUAUGGUGCCAGCCACAUACACCAACGCUGGCGGGUUCGGACCCGGCUUGGGCCAGCUAAACAACAAUGAUAGCUGCAACCAAAAAGUAGCUGGGUGUUGUGGUGGGUGCCUGUAGUCCCAGCUACUUGGGAGGCUGAGGCAGGAGAAUCACUUAAGCCCAAGAGUCUGAGGUUGCUGUGAGCUGUGACGCCACAGCCGUCUACUGAGGGUAACAUAGUGAGACUCUGUCUCAAAAAAAAAAAUUUAUUAAGGGCGGUGCCUGUGGCUCAAAGGAGUAGGGUGCCGGCCCCAUAUGCCGGAGGUGGCGGGUUCAAACCCAGCCCUGGCCAAAAAAAAAAAAAAAAAAUUUAUUGAGGUUAUCGACAACUUCUAUCAUUCCCACUGUAGUGGUCAAUUCUCUUUCCUCUUGUUCAACCUCUCACUAGCAUUGGAAACAGUUGAUGUCUCCCUGCUCGAAUCAUUUUUCUUUACCUGGUUUCUGGGACAAGUCCUGGAUUCCCCCACCUCACCGUUCCUUCUCAGGGCCCUUUGCUCACACUUGCUCCUCUGUCCAGCCUCUAAUAUUGGAGUGUCCCAGGCUCCCACCUUGUUCUCCCUCUCCUUUCAUUUCCUAGGUAACUCAUCCAGUCUGUUGGUUUGAAGUAUCUUUCCCACCUAUAUUUCUAUCUCUUCCCUGGGCUCCAGGCUCAACAGCACCAAAUAUGUUCCCAGUGCACUUGGAUGUAUGCCAGGCAUCUUAAAAUUUGCAUGGACAAGCUGGGACUCCUGAUUCCUUCUCCUCAUGGUGCCAACAUCUCUUCUCAUUUUGGUAAAUAUUCCAUCCCACAUCCAUUCCCUAAUCAAGUCAAAUCCUUAGGGGUCUUUUCUUCAAUCGGGCCCUCCCCCAGCCUGCAGACCCUAGCAAGCCCUGUCAGUGCUAGUGUCCACAGUUCAGCCACUUCCCACAAUACUGCUCACACAAGCUACCUCAUGUCUUCCCUGGACUAGCGCAAUAACUUCUUUUUAAAAUUUUACUUAUUUUUUUGUUCUAUCCCAUCUAGGUUUUGUUCUAUUCCAUCUAGUAACAAAUGACUUUUUUUUUUUUUUUUUGCAACAGUCUUACUCUGUUGCCCCAGGUUAAAGUGCUGUGGCAUUGGCCUACUCAUAGCAACCUCAAACUCCUGGGUUCAAGCAGUCCUUUCUCAGCUUGAGUAGCUGGGAAUACAGGUGCCCACCAUGAUGCCUGCUUAAUUUUCCUAUUAGUGGAGGCAAGGGUCACAUUCUUGAGACUUGGUCUUGAACUCCUGAGCUCAAGGGAUUCUCCUGCCUUGGCUUCCCAGAGGGCUAGGAUUAUAGGUGUGAGCCACCGUGCCUGGCCAACGGGUAAUUUCUUGGCUGUAGCUGUCGCCGUGGUUCCCUCUUAUUCCCUAGCAGCCAGAGUCAUCUUUUAAAAAAUGUUAAUCAGAUGUUUAAAACUCUCCUGUGGGUCCUCAUCUCCCUUAGGAUAAAGUCUAAACCGCACACAAAAAGUGUUAGGCUGACCCUGGGAAAGAGGUUGGCCCCUCCCAUCUUGGAGACUGGCUAGCACAGUCCAUUCCCCAAGAGAUGACUCAAUUUCUUCACUCCUCAUAUCUGAUCAAUAAAGGGAUACUGAAACGUGUGCGAAAGGGGCCUGUGGGUGUGUGGGAAUGAGAAAAUUGGCGUUACUCUAAGGUGAGGAGGUGGGCAAGAGUUAUGUACUCUUCCAGUUAGAAAAGUUUGAUUUCCCCCUCUAAUAAUAAAUUUAGUGGUUCCUUCACUAUUGUCUGUAUUAAUAACACUUGAUCACAAUGUUCCAUAGUCCUAAAAUAAGCUUAGCAAGCAGUAGGGUGCAUAGGGGUGGCUGGUGGUGGGAAAAAAGGGCCAUUUUGGCUGGGCCUCUUUUUCUCAAAGGGCCUCUCAUUUAGAAUCUGAUGUUAAUCCUCAAAGAUACAUUUGUCAGUCUUUAUAGGACCAAUAUUGGCUGUGGUGCUCUGAAUUUAUUAGAAAAAAAACAAAAAACAGUUCAGGUGUGAACUAUAGUUCUAGCACUUUGGGGGCUGAGGUGGGAGGAUUGCUGAGAACAGGAGUUUGAGACUGGCCAGGGCAACAUAGUGAGACCCCAUCUCUACAAAAAAAUAAUAGAUGGGUGCUGUGGCACACACCUGUGAAUAGCUAUGGGGGAGGCUGAGGCAGGAGGUGACAGUAAGCUAUGGUUGUGGCAGUAUGCUCUAGCCUGAGCAACAGAACCAGACCCCAUCUCUUAAAAACAAAACAUCCUACAUUUAUCUUGUAAAUAGCACAGUUAUUUUGCAUAGUAUUUUUGUGUAUUUGAAUAGUGUUUGUUAAAUAUCUAAAUCUUUCUAUAUUUUGUAAAUUAAAUCUAUGAACCUAUUUAGAGUUUCUUCUUUUUCAAUAUUCCAAAAGCCCCAGUGGAAAAGAUCAGAGCUUGUUAAGAGGCUCAGAAUUGUUUUUGGAGCAGGAUUAGGGGUAUUUAGGGGAUGAUGAAAAUGUUCUGGAAUUAAAUAGUGGUGAUGGUCGUACAACUCUGUGAAUAUGCUAAAAACCAUACUCAAAAAGGAUGAAUUUUAUGUAUGUGAAUUAUAUCUCAAUAAAGUUAUUAUUUAAAAAUGUACAACUUUGCACAACUGGCACAUGUUUGACAUUUGGUGCCUCAAAGAUGGUGCUCCUCAAACCUCUUGGACUUUUUUUUUGGUCAGUGCUGUGCAGUAGAAAUAUAAUAUGAGCCACAUCUACAAUUUAAAAUUAUCUAUUAACUGGGCCUGGAUGCGGCGGCUCACGUCUGUAAUCCUAGCACUCUGGGAGGCUGAGGGGGGUGGAUUACUUGAGCUCAGGAGUUCGAGGGCGGCGCCUGUGGCUCAGUUGGUAAGGCGCCGGCCCCAUAUACCGAGGGUGGCAGGUUCAAACCCGGUCCCAGCUGAACUGCAACCAAAA
Molecule: long non-coding RNA, 11840 nt
Organism: Nycticebus coucang (slow loris)
Lineage: Eukaryota; Metazoa; Chordata; Mammalia; Primates; Lorisidae
Exons: 7
Source: RefSeq, a predicted model, not a curated record